AAGUCGUAACAAGGUUUCCGUAGGUGUACCUGCGGAAGGAUCAUUAUUGAAGCUUGAAUCGUAGCAUUGAGAACUGUUGCUGACCUGUUAAAGGGUAUGUGCGCGUUCGACGUGUUGCGUUCUAUUCAUCCACCUGUGCACCUUUGUAGACUUGAUUAACUUUCGCUCUCGAGCGGUUUAGAAGGGUUGCUUUCGAGCUCCCUUUGUCUAUCAAGUCUAUGUCUAUAUAAUCUCUUGUAUGUCUAGAAUGUCUUGUUUAUGGGACGCAAGUCCUUUAAAUCUUAUACAA
RNAcentral lists this unclassified non-coding RNA (289 nucleotides) under plant metagenome. Its description in RNAcentral is "partial contains small subunit ribosomal RNA and internal transcribed spacer 1". The stretch from base 1 to 46 matches the Rfam family "Eukaryotic small subunit ribosomal RNA", at positions 1786 to 1831 of the family's 1831-position model. The record is from RNAcentral.